This 253-nucleotide ribosomal RNA is filed under the name uncultured bacterium. RNAcentral's name for it is "partial 16S ribosomal RNA". It matches the Rfam family "Bacterial small subunit ribosomal RNA", at positions 524 to 776 of the family's 1533-position model. The record is from RNAcentral.
UACAGAGGUCCCGAGCGUUGUUCGGAUUCACUGGGCGUAAAGGGUGCGUAGGUGGUGAGGUAAGUCGGAUGUGAAAUCUCCAAGCUCAACUUGGAAAUGGCAUUGGAAACUACCUUGCUGGAGGUUUGGAGGGGGGACUGGAAUUCUCGGUGUAGCAGUGAAAUGCGUAGAUAUCGAGAGGAACACCAGUGGCGAAGGCGAGUCCCUGGACAAAACCUGACACCGAGGCACGAAAGCUAGGGGAGCAAACAGG